RNAcentral lists this long non-coding RNA (169 nucleotides) under Gorilla gorilla gorilla (western lowland gorilla). RNAcentral's name for it is "lncRNA (ENSGGOG00000044264.1)". Lineage: Eukaryota; Metazoa; Chordata; Mammalia; Primates; Hominidae. The record is from RNAcentral.
AACUGAGAAAUCAGGACAUCUUUCUCUACAGGCAAGAAGAGGAAAAUAAUACAUGAGUGACAGAAGAUUAAGUACAGUACUGAGCUUUGCCAAGUAGACCAGCAUAUUGCAAUAAUUUAUGAUACCAUGAAUUCAGUCGCACGUUUACUUUGUGGAAUGACCUAUCAAC